This is a long non-coding RNA of Dermochelys coriacea (leatherback sea turtle), 122 nucleotides long. RefSeq lists it as uncharacterized. The transcript is spliced from 3 exons. NCBI's taxonomy places the organism in Eukaryota, Metazoa, Chordata, Testudines, Dermochelyidae. The record is from RefSeq and is a predicted model, not a curated record.
UGUGCUUCUUGGCAAUGGGUCUUGGUGUCAUUUUGGAUAGUUAUCUGAGAAAAUCCAUUCAAUGUGCAGCGGCAGUCAAAAAAGCAAACAGAAUGUUGGGAAUCAUUAAGAAAGGGAUAUAU